AGUGAACGCUGGCGGUAGGCCUAACACAUGCAAGUCGAACGGCAGCACAGUAAGAUCUUGCGCUUACGGGUGGCGAGUGGCGGACGGGUGAGGAAUACAUCGUAAUCUACUUUUUCGUGGGGGAUAACGUAGGGAAACUUACGCUAAUACCGCAUACUACCUACGGGUGAAAGCAUGGGAUCUUCGGACCUUGCGCGAUUGAAUGAGCCGAUGUCGGAUUAGCUAGUUGGCGGGGUAAAGGCCCACCAAGGCGACGAUCCGUAGCUGGUCUGAGAGGAUGAUCAGCGACACUGGAACUGAGACACGGUCCAGACUCCUACGGGAGGCAGCAGUGGGGAAUAUUGGUCAAUGGGCGCAAGACUGAUCCAGCCAUACCGCGUGGGUGAAGAAGGCCUUCGGGUUGUAAAGCCCUUUUGUUGGGAAAGAAAAGCAGCAGGUUAAUACCCCGCUGUUCUGACGGUACCCAAAGAAUAAGCACCGGCUAACUUCGUG
This 492-nucleotide ribosomal RNA is filed under the name uncultured bacterium. RNAcentral's name for it is "partial 16S ribosomal RNA". It matches the Rfam family "Bacterial small subunit ribosomal RNA", at positions 29 to 507 of the family's 1533-position model. The record is from RNAcentral.